RNAcentral lists this long non-coding RNA (550 nucleotides) under Zostera marina. Its description in RNAcentral is "long non-coding RNA (ZMAR_LNC001542)". Lineage: Eukaryota; Viridiplantae; Streptophyta; Magnoliopsida; Alismatales; Zosteraceae. The record is from RNAcentral.
UGUAACCUUUCUAAUUUUUCCAUUAUAUAUAUAUAUAUAUGACAAUAAACGCAGGUAGAAUUAAGAUUUUCCAUCUAAUCGAUUCGUUUUCAUAAAAAAACUAAGAUGGCGAGAAGAAACGGAUUACAUUCGUCGACUUUUUUAUUGAUGUUGGCUGGAAUCAUGUUUAUCCUCUUGUUCACGAGAACCGCACAAGUCGACGGAUCGGAGAAAGCACAUUCGCGGGUUUUUGCUAGAAAGAAGCUAUCGACGAUCAUCUCCACUCCACCGAUGAAAGAUGAUGGGAUUCCGUGCAAUCUAAAAUAUAGUCGGAAACAAAACUGCCGAGUUGGUCCACAAAUUCAUCCAUUCCACAGGGGGUGCAAGAAAUCCAACCUUUGUAGAGAUGGUCUUUGAUUAUCAUCUAACAACUAUAAACUACAUGUUAUUUCAUAUUUGUAGUUGUUAGUGGAUAUCUCUCUAGUGAAGUCCAAAAUAAAAGGAAAUCUUGGCCCAAUUAGAAUUAUUUUCUCAUCUUAUAAAUACUUAAUGGACCGGACCCAACCCAUAU